Molecule: ribosomal RNA, 597 nt
Filed under: uncultured bacterium
Lineage: Bacteria
Description: bacterial SSU rRNA
Rfam family: Bacterial small subunit ribosomal RNA
Source: RNAcentral
CGGUAACGAUGGGAGCUUGCUCCCAGGCGACGAGUGGCGGACGGGUGAGUAAUGCGUAGGAAUCUACCUUGUAGCGGGGGACAACUCGAGGAAACUCGGGCUAAUACCGCAUACGCCCUUCGGGGGAAAGCUGGGGAUCUUCGGACCUGGCACUAUUAGAUGAGCCUACGUCGGAUUAGCUUGUUGGUGGGGUAAAAGCCUACCAAGGCGACGAUCCGUAGCUGGUUUGAGAGGACGAUCAGCCACACUGGGACUGAGACACGGCCCAGACUCCUACGGGAGGCAGCAGUGGGGAAUCUUGGACAAUGGGGGCAACCCUGAUCCAGCAAUGCCGCGUGUGUGAAGAAGGCCUGCGGGUUGUAAAGCACUUUCAGUAGGGAGGAAAAGCUACGGGUUAAUAACCCGGAGUCUUGACGUAACCUACAGAAGAAGCACCGGCUAACUCUGUGCCAGCAGCCGCGGUAAUACAGAGGGUGCGAGCGUUAAUCGGAAUUACUGGGCGUAAAGCGCGCGUAGGCGGCUACGUCAGUCGGAUGUGAAAGCCCCGGGCUUAACCUGGGAAUUGCAUUCGAAACUGCGUGGCUAGAGUCUGAUAGA